RNAcentral lists this ribosomal RNA (560 nucleotides) under Salmonella enterica subsp. enterica serovar Infantis. Its description in RNAcentral is "partial 23S ribosomal RNA". It matches the Rfam family "Bacterial large subunit ribosomal RNA", at positions 1 to 589 of the family's 2925-position model. The record is from RNAcentral. Lineage: Bacteria; Pseudomonadati; Pseudomonadota; Gammaproteobacteria; Enterobacterales; Enterobacteriaceae. RNAcentral also lists the same sequence under 2 other names.
GGGUUGUGAGGUUAAGCGACUAAGCGUACACGGUGGAUGCCCUGGCAGUCAGAGGCGAUGAAGGGCGUGCUAAUCUGCGAUAAGCGCCGGUAAGGUGAUAUGAACCGUUAUAACCGGCGAUACCCGAAUGGGGAAACCCAGUGUGACUCGUCACACUAUCAUUAACUGAAUCCAUAGGUUAAUGAGGCGAACCGGGGGAACUGAAACAUCUAAGUACCCCGAGGAAAAGAAAUCAACCGAGAUUCCCCCAGUAGCGGCGAGCGAACGGGGAGGAGCCCAGAGCCUGAAUCAGCAUGUGUGUUAGUGGAAGCGUCUGGAAAGGCGCGCGAUACAGGGUGACAGCCCCGUACACAAAAGCGCAUGUGCUGUGAGCUCGAUGAGUAGGGCGGGACACGUGGUAUCCUGUCUGAAUAUGGGGGGACCAUCCUCCAAGGCUAAAUACUCCUGACUGACCGAUAGUGAACCAGUACCGUGAGGGAAAGGCGAAAAGAACCCCGGCGAGGGGAGUGAAAAAGAACCUGAAACCGUGUACGUACAAGCAGUGGGAGCACAGGUUUACC